GUUGAACGCUGGCGGCGUGCCUAAUACAUGCAAGUCGAGCGAACGGACGAGAAGCUUGCUUCUCUGAUGUUAGCGGCGGACGGGUGAGUAACACGUGGAUAACCUACCUAUAAGACUGGGAUAACUUCGGGAAACCGGAGCUAAUACCGGAUAAUAUUUUGAACCGCAUGGUUCAAAAGUGAAAGACGGUCUUGCUGUCACUUAUAGAUGGAUCCGCGCUGCAUUAGCUAGUUGGUAAGGUAACGGCUUACCAAGGCAACGAUGCAUAGCCUACCUGAGAGGGUGAUCGGCCACACUGGAACUGAGACACGGUCCAGACUCCUACGGGAGGCAGCAGUAGGGAAUCUUCCGCAAUGGGCGAAAGCCUGACGGAGCAACGCCGCGUGAGUGAUGAAGGUCUUCGGAUCGUAAAACUCUGUUAUUAGGGAAGAACAUAUGUGUAAGUAACUGUGCACAUCUUGACGGUACCUAAUCAGAAAGCCACGGCUAACUACGUG
This 497-nucleotide ribosomal RNA is filed under the name uncultured bacterium. Its description in RNAcentral is "partial 16S ribosomal RNA". It matches the Rfam family "Bacterial small subunit ribosomal RNA", at positions 28 to 507 of the family's 1533-position model. The record is from RNAcentral.